This 231-nucleotide ribosomal RNA is filed under the name uncultured bacterium. Its description in RNAcentral is "partial 16S ribosomal RNA". It matches the Rfam family "Bacterial small subunit ribosomal RNA", at positions 796 to 1041 of the family's 1533-position model. The record is from RNAcentral.
CACGCCGUAAACGUUGAGAACUAAGUGUUGGGGAGACCCAGUGCUGAAGCUAACGCAUUAAGUUCUCCGCCUGAGGAGUACGCACGCAAGUGUAAAACUUAAAGGAAUUGACGGGGGCCCGCACAAGCAGUGGAGCAUGUGGUUUAAUUCGUGGCUACGCGAAGAACCUUACCAGGGCUUGACAGGAAACUUAAGACCCUAGAGAUAGGGGAUAAUAAGUGAAACAGGUGG